UACGGGGGGGGUAAGCGUUGUCCGGAAUUAUUGGGCGUAAAGAGCUCGUAGGCGGUUCGUCGCGUCGGCUGUGAAAUCCCGAGGCUCAACCUCGGGUCUGCAGUCGAUACGGGCGGACUGGAGUUCGGCAGGGGAGACUGGAAUUCCUGGUGUAGCGGUGAAAUGCGCAGAUAUCAGGAGGAACACCGGUGGCGAAGGCGGGUCUCUGGGCCGAUACUGACGCUGAGGAGCGAAAGCGUGGGGAGCGAACAGG
RNAcentral lists this ribosomal RNA (253 nucleotides) under uncultured bacterium. RNAcentral's name for it is "partial 16S ribosomal RNA". It matches the Rfam family "Bacterial small subunit ribosomal RNA", at positions 524 to 776 of the family's 1533-position model. The record is from RNAcentral.